Molecule: long non-coding RNA, 506 nt
Organism: Rhipicephalus sanguineus (brown dog tick)
Lineage: Eukaryota; Metazoa; Arthropoda; Arachnida; Ixodida; Ixodidae
Exons: 3
Source: RefSeq, a predicted model, not a curated record
GUGUGCACGUGCUCAACAAGGUAGCUUUUCAAUGGAAAGGAUGCGUGAUACUGAACACAGGAUUAGGGAGGCUAUCCUUUGUGCACGCGCAUGUGUUUCACGAGGUGGUUUUUCUGCGAGAAGGACGCACUGCAAUGACUGCAGGAGAAGGGACGCUCUCUUGUGUGCACGUGGAUGUGUCUGACGAGGUGGUUUUUCUGCAAGAAUGAUGCACUACAGUGGACACAAAUGAAGGGACGCUCUCCUGUGUGAGUGCGCAUGUGCUUAUCAAGGCUGUUUUUCAUCACAAACGAUGCAUUGCAGUGGGCACAGGAAAAGGGACGCUCUCUUGUGUGCGUCCGCAUGUGCUGAUUUAGUUGGCUUUUCGUCACAAACGAUGCAUUGCAGUGGACACAGGAAAAGGGGCGCUCUCCUGUGUGAGUUCGCACAUGAACCACCAGCUUCGAGUUAUGAAUGAACGCAGCUGGGCACAAGUGACACUGUAAGGGGCGUUCGCCCUUGUGUUU